CUAACGCUGAGAUACGAUGUCGAGCUACUACGGUAGUGAAGUCAUUGAUGCCAUGCUUCCAGGAAAAGCCUCUAAGCUUCAGAUUGUAAGGAAUCGUACCCCAAACCGACACAGGUGGUCGGGUAGAGAAUACCAAGGCGCUUGAGAGAACUCGGGUGAAGGAACUAGGCAAAAUGGUACCGUAACUUCGGGAGAAGGUACGCUCUUAUCAGUGAAGUCCCUUGCGGAUGGAGCAGACGAGAGUCGCAGAUACCAGGUGGCUGCAACUGUUUAUUAAAAACACAGCACUGUGCAAAAUCGUAAGAUGACGUAUACGGUGUGACGCCUGCCCGGUGCCGGAAGGUUAAUUGAUGGGGUUAGACUUCGGUCGAAGCUCUUGAUCGAAGCCCCGGUAAACGGCGGCCGUAACUAUAACGGUCCUAAGGUAGCGAAAUUCCUUGUCGGGUAAGUUCCGACCUGCACGAAUGGCGUAAUGAUGGCCACGCUGUCUCCACCCGAGACUCAGUGAAAUUGAAAUCGCUGUGAAGAUGCAGUGUACCCGCGGCUAGACGGAAAGACCCCGUGAACCUUUACUACAGCUUGGCACUGAACAUUGAACCUACAUGUGUAGGAUAGGUGGGAGACUAUGAAACCGCGUCGCUAGAUGUGGUGGAGUCGUCCUUGAAAUACCACCCUUGUAGUUUUGAUGUUCUAACGUUGGUCCCUGAAUCGGGAUUACGGACAGUGCCUGGUGGGUAGUUUGACUGGGGCGGUCUCCUCCCAAAGAGUAACGGAGGAGCACGAAGGUGGGCUAAACACGGUUGGACAUCGUGUGGUUAGUGCAAUGGCAUAAGCCCGCUUGACUGCGAGAAUGACAAUUCGAGCAGGUGCGAAAGCAGGUCAUAGUGAUCCGGUGGUUCUGAAUGGAAGGGCCAUCGCUCAACGGAUAAAAGGUACUCCGGGGAUAACAGGCUGAUACCGCCCAAGAGUUCAUAUCGACGGCGGUGUUUGGCACCUCGAUGUCGGCUCAUCACAUCCUGGGGCUGAAGUCGGUCCCAAGGGUAUGGCUGUUCGCCAUUUAAAGUGGUACGCGAGCUGGGUUUAGAACGUCGUGAGACAGUUCGGUCCCUAUCUGCCGUGGGCGUUGGAAAAUUGAAAGGGGCUGCUCCUAGUACGAGAGGACCGGAGUGGACGAACCUCUGGUGUUCGGGUUGUCAUGCCAAUGGCAUUGCCCGGUAGCUAAGUUCGGAAUCGAUAACCGCUGAAAGCAUCUAAGCGGGAAGCGAGCCUUGAGAUGAGUUUUCCCUGGCACUAUAAGUGUCCUAAAGGGUUGUCGUAGACUACGACGUUGAUAGGCAGGG
This 1340-nucleotide ribosomal RNA is filed under the name Vibrio sp. ZF57. RNAcentral's name for it is "bacterial LSU rRNA". It matches the Rfam family "Bacterial large subunit ribosomal RNA", at positions 1550 to 2865 of the family's 2925-position model. Lineage: Bacteria; Pseudomonadati; Pseudomonadota; Gammaproteobacteria; Vibrionales; Vibrionaceae. The record is from RNAcentral.